Long non-coding RNA from Dermochelys coriacea (leatherback sea turtle), 1226 nucleotides. RefSeq lists it as uncharacterized. Lineage: Eukaryota; Metazoa; Chordata; Testudines; Dermochelyidae. The record is from RefSeq and is a predicted model, not a curated record. The transcript has 4 exons.
AGUUGCUGGCUGAGACCAGAAGAGUGAAGGAGGAUUAAAAGGUUGCGAAACUCUGUAGAAGACUUCUGGACAAGAGAAGAAACUACUAACGAGACCAUUGAGGAAAGAUAAUAGAGGAUGGGAAAGCCUCUGAAGAUGGCGGUUUAAUGCUCUGAAAGAGGGGAAUUGAGUGAGAAUUGUCAGUACUGCAAACUCCAUGGAUUGCACAACAGCAUAGGAAUGACAUUUACAUCACUGCAGUGAAGCUCAGAAUCUGGUUCAGUGGGUCCAAAAGGAAUAAAAAUGGCUUCCCCACAAAUAUACCAGAGAGAGAAAGAAAUAGAAGACAAGAGCACCAAGCAGAAACCCAAGGAAUUUUGGGAAGUAAUCUGACAUGGUGGAUGGGAGUUGAAUCUUUACCAUCUUGGGCUGUGUGAUCUCAUUAGCUUUCACAAAAUAAGAUAUGUCUAGCCUGGUCAAUACUUGGAGACCUCUAAGCAAGGUAGAGAUGCUACAUGGAAUGAUACUGAUGAUUCCUCAGGUGGCUAUCUUCAUGAACAACCAAAAUCACUGGGAGCACUGUGCUGUUGAAGGUGUGGUCUUUCAGACUGAUGUAAAAACCAAGAUCACUCCAUUAUAGAAAUUAGAAAUGGAAAAGACAUAUUAGAGUGUCUAAUCUGUCCCCAUGUUGGUGCAGAUUAUUCCUUCUGGUGCUAUGUCAGCUUAGUUUUUUGUUUCUUUUUAAAUAUCCUAAGUGAAGAAGAUAUGAGAUCCUUCUGCACCCAUGUAUUCAUUAAAGAUCCCAUCACAUUUUCCACAAAGAUAAGGGUGUUAGACUUCCAGUUAUAGUAUGACUAUUUAAAUUCCUCCUGCAAUUACUUCAUCUUCUUCUUCACUUUCUGUCUCAUGCUGUUGGGUAGUGCUGCUGUGAAUUGUUAAAAGGUUGUCCUGUUCACCAGAGAGGUGACUGCAUUUAGAGUACAUUUGGGCAUUUGGGAUCCUUUGGAAUGAAAAGAGCUGUAUACAUGAAGGUUUUUAUUAAGUGCUUAAGAUGUAAAUGUAAUUGGAAGGAAGUAAAGAAAUUCUAAUAUUAAAGAGGCAAUGUUGCAUAUGUAUACCUUGGACAUGGGGAUGCACCCCUUAAAAAGUUUGCAUAAGUGUCCAUUAUACUGUAUACUCAUUCAUUCUUAUAGGUAUAAAUGGAAAAUUCAUUUCAUUUGGAUUUAAAAACACACCCAGAAGAGCAG